Molecule: ribosomal RNA, 426 nt
Filed under: uncultured Chlamydiae bacterium
Lineage: Bacteria; Pseudomonadati; Chlamydiota; Chlamydiia
Description: bacterial SSU rRNA
Rfam family: Bacterial small subunit ribosomal RNA
Source: RNAcentral
AACGCGAAGAACCUUACCUGGGCUCGAAGUUCAGAGGACGUUGCCAGAGAAGGUAAUUCCCGCAAGGGUCUCUGAAUAGGUGCUGCAUGGCUGUCGUCAGCUCGUGCCGUGAGGUGUUGGGUUAAGUCCCGCAACGAGCGCAACCCUUAUCAUUAGUUGCCAACACGCGAGGUGGGGACUCUAAUGAGACUGCCUGGGUUAACCAGGAGGAAGGUGAGGAUGACGUCAAGUCCGCAUGGCCUUUAUGUCCAGGGCUACACACGUGCUACAAUGGUCGGUACAGAAGGCCGCGAAACCGCGAGGUGGAGCAAAUCCCAAAAACCGAUCCCAGUUCAGAUUGUAGUCUGCAACUCGACUACAUGAAGUUGGAAUUGCUAGUAAUGGCGUGUCAGCAACAACGCCGUGAAUACGUUCCCGGGCCUUGUA